Long non-coding RNA from Nematostella vectensis (starlet sea anemone), 466 nucleotides. RefSeq lists it as uncharacterized. The transcript has 2 exons. NCBI's taxonomy places the organism in Eukaryota, Metazoa, Cnidaria, Anthozoa, Actiniaria, Edwardsiidae. The record is from RefSeq and is a predicted model, not a curated record.
UUAAGUCUACACUCAGUCAUUAUUGCCCGGCCAAUCACUGCAAUUUACUCAUUGCACACAACUUAAGAUUUAAAGGCAAAGAGAGACUGCCUUUCCUGAUGAGGAGGAGGUCGACGAUAGAGCUCCUGCAAAUAUAAAAGGUUGUAAAAAGAUGACGUAUAAAUAAAGGGAAAGACUUUUUGGACUGUUAUCGUGACAACCAGCACUAGGUGGUUUAAUUAAACUAGUUUAAAUCUCAAUCUCCCAAGAGUGGACAGAACCAAGCACAAAACUGAAUAGACUGUGCUGUACAUAAGAAUUAAACACAAUGAGAAACUUGGCAAGUUAUCAGGCAAAGAAAAACCUUGUUUAACUAAACAUGGUUUUGGUUUGAAUGCAGCAUAGCUCUGAACCAUCUGACCAUGAGGAAACUAACAAAUUGUAAACUUUUAUAUACAUUAAAAAAAUAAAAACCUCAUGUGAUCAA